Molecule: ribosomal RNA, 1332 nt
Filed under: Staphylococcus aureus M1027
Lineage: Bacteria; Bacillati; Bacillota; Bacilli; Caryophanales; Staphylococcaceae
Description: bacterial LSU rRNA
Rfam family: Bacterial large subunit ribosomal RNA
Source: RNAcentral
CGAGUCGUUGAUUUCACACUGCCGAGAAAAGCCUCUAGAUAGAAAAUAGGUGCCCGUACCGCAAACCGACACAGGUAGUCAAGAUGAGAAUUCUAAGGUGAGCGAGCGAACUCUCGUUAAGGAACUCGGCAAAAUGACCCCGUAACUUCGGGAGAAGGGGUGCUCUUUAGGGUUAACGCCCAGAAGAGCCGCAGUGAAUAGGCCCAAGCGACUGUUUAUCAAAAACACAGGUCUCUGCUAAACCGUAAGGUGAUGUAUAGGGGCUGACGCCUGCCCGGUGCUGGAAGGUUAAGAGGAGUGGUUAGCUUCUGCGAAGCUACGAAUCGAAGCCCCAGUAAACGGCGGCCGUAACUAUAACGGUCCUAAGGUAGCGAAAUUCCUUGUCGGGUAAGUUCCGACCCGCACGAAAGGCGUAACGAUUUGGGCACUGUCUCAACGAGAGACUCGGUGAAAUCAUAGUACCUGUGAAGAUGCAGGUUACCCGCGACAGGACGGAAAGACCCCGUGGAGCUUUACUGUAGCCUGAUAUUGAAAUUCGGCACAGCUUGUACAGGAUAGGUAGGAGCCUUUGAAACGUGAGCGCUAGCUUACGUGGAGGCGCUGGUGGGAUACUACCCUAGCUGUGUUGGCUUUCUAACCCGCACCACUUAUCGUGGUGGGAGACAGUGUCAGGCGGGCAGUUUGACUGGGGCGGUCGCCUCCUAAAAGGUAACGGAGGCGCUCAAAGGUUCCCUCAGAAUGGUUGGAAAUCAUUCAUAGAGUGUAAAGGCAUAAGGGAGCUUGACUGCGAGACCUACAAGUCGAGCAGGGUCGAAAGACGGACUUAGUGAUCCGGUGGUUCCGCAUGGAAGGGCCAUCGCUCAACGGAUAAAAGCUACCCCGGGGAUAACAGGCUUAUCUCCCCCAAGAGUUCACAUCGACGGGGAGGUUUGGCACCUCGAUGUCGGCUCAUCGCAUCCUGGGGCUGUAGUCGGUCCCAAGGGUUGGGCUGUUCGCCCAUUAAAGCGGUACGCGAGCUGGGUUCAGAACGUCGUGAGACAGUUCGGUCCCUAUCCGUCGUGGGCGUAGGAAAUUUGAGAGGAGCUGUCCUUAGUACGAGAGGACCGGGAUGGACAUACCUCUGGUGUACCAGUUGUCGUGCCAACGGCAUAGCUGGGUAGCUAUGUGUGGACGGGAUAAGUGCUGAAAGCAUCUAAGCAUGAAGCCCCCCUCAAGAUGAGAUUUCCCAACUUCGGUUAUAAGAUCCCUCAAAGAUGAUGAGGUUAAUAGGUUCGAGGUGGAAGCAUGGUGACAUGUGGAGCUGACGAAUACUAAUCGAUCGAAGACUUAAUC